UCGAAUCUGUAAAGCUGACCCGAGAACAUGUUCAAACGAAUUCGUGGACAUGAUGUUUGUGGAUGCCCUUGCAUUUCCAACAUUGUGGCCUCUAACCCCAAACGGCUCUGGUCGCUUGGGCGUACUAACCUCUCGGCGUGGCAAGCGCCAAGGAAAACCGAACAGAUCGCCUCUCCAUGCGGGUGGUACCCGGCAUGCGGGGGGGGAGCAUCUAUCGAAAUAGUCGUAACGACUCUCGGCAACGGAUAUCUCGGCUCUCGCAUCGAURAAGAACGUAGCGAAAUGCGAUACUUGGUGUGAAUUGCARAAUCCCGUGAACCAUCGAGUCUUUGAACGCAAGUUGCGCCCGAAGCCAUCAGGCCGAGGGCACGUCUGCCUGGGCGUCACGCAUCUCGUCGCCCCCCCCUCCCAACAUCAUCCUCCCCACACACUGUCGGGGAACGAUGCAUGAAACGUGGGGGGCGGAAAUUGGCCUCCCGUCACCAGAGCGUGGUGGCCGGCCCAAAUAGCAAGCCGUGUCGAUGGAUGUCGCACGAUACGUGGUGGUUGGACUGCUCAACUUGAAAACUAUCGUGCGGGACCUUCGGCCCACCGGCACGACCCAACGGCAUCGAAAUUGCCUACGACUGUA
RNAcentral lists this ribosomal RNA (631 nucleotides) under Paraboea incudicarpa. RNAcentral's name for it is "eukaryotic LSU rRNA". The stretch from base 231 to 386 matches the Rfam family "5.8S ribosomal RNA". Lineage: Eukaryota; Viridiplantae; Streptophyta; Magnoliopsida; Lamiales; Gesneriaceae. The record is from RNAcentral.